AGACUAGGGAGUGGGGGCAGGGAAAACCAUCUCCUUUAAGGAAAUCUGGCAGCUCAAACAGACUGACACAGUUUCUCUGCCCCUCAUCCAGACCAUGGUUAGCCACUGGUCUGGCACACCAGUGGCAUGCUCUCCACACCCAUCCUCUCUCUGCCAGGCACAAUCUGUCCCUCUGUGCUGACCGCUGGAAAAGCUUGUAGGGGUUAUAGAACAAAGGUUUGCCUGUGCAGCUGGUGAAGUGAGAAGCGCUCACUCUUGGAUAGAAAUGACAACAGCUUUUUUUUUAAAACCAAAUUAUUUAUUUGAGUAGAUGAAGCAAUAACUGUGCACUGUCUUCAGAGUCAUCUAAAACCAAAUUAAUGCCAUGCACUUGUAAGCCAAGGCAUAGGGAGGCAAGUAAAUCUUUCUUCCUAGUCUCAGGGGAGUUGCUUUUUCCCUGCAGCACAGGACACAGGCUCAUGCAUGCUUAAAAUGCCAUGUAUCAGUUACAGAGCCCAUGCUGCUGUUCAGAUGACACCACUGGGUUCCUCCUCAUCUCAGGAUGAUUGUUAGAGAAACGCUGGGGUUGGAUUGACUCAUGGGAAAUUGUUAUACUAAAGCUGGAGUGCAUGAGGAGUAUGGCUUAGCCCAUCUGCAUUCGAAGGCACAGCUAUUAGUUGGUGGCUUCGAUACCUGCCAACCUAUGAGAUGUCAAGUCUAUUUCUGCCUUCAUUCUGCCUCAGGCCAUGCAGUUUCCCCCCCAUGCUGAAGACUCUCCCCUGGCAUCCAGUUGGAACAACAGAAGGAUCAAACCAGCUCCCUGUUCAUUUGCAUCCGGCUCUUUCUGUUCCUGCCAACAGCACCCAGAGAAAGACCACGUGUUUAUUUUCAUGUAGUGUCUCCCACUCAUCUGCUGGAGCAAGCCAUGGAUCCCUGCCAUCUAAAUCCUGCAGGCAUUUCCCUCCCCUCCCACCCCCUUCAAAUCUGUGUGCCAAUGUUGGAAAGUCACUUAUUAAUAAAAUAAAAGGCUUCCCAUAUUAGGAGAGAUUAUUUCUGUAACUUCUGCUACAUGUUCCAAUAUCCUCAAGGACCUCUGCAUCUUCCCUAUUGUGCUUUAAUGCUGGGAAGGAUGGGGCAUCCACCCCCAGAAAUAUUUUCCAUCAGAAAAUUGAAUGAGCCGUGUGUGUCUGGAAAAUGGAACAGUGAAUGUUAACAGGUCCUCACCCUUAGGUGUGCUCUGGUACUUAUUGUUUCAGAUGGCUCUGAAUGAAG
Long non-coding RNA from Corvus hawaiiensis (hawaiian crow), 1251 nucleotides. RefSeq lists it as uncharacterized. Lineage: Eukaryota; Metazoa; Chordata; Aves; Passeriformes; Corvidae. The record is from RefSeq and is a predicted model, not a curated record. The transcript is spliced from 4 exons.